This 200-nucleotide long non-coding RNA is filed under the name Malus domestica (apple). RNAcentral describes it as "long non-coding RNA (MDOM_LNC000520)". Lineage: Eukaryota; Viridiplantae; Streptophyta; Magnoliopsida; Rosales; Rosaceae. The record is from RNAcentral.
AGGAGGUUAACUGAGCUGCCAUUGUCCACCAUGACUCUGUAAAUGAUGGCAUUGGCCAGUUGUACAGAAAUCACCAGGGCGUCGUUAUGGGGAAUGUCUACUCCCUCAGCGUCUUGCUCAGUGAAGCCGACGAUUGGUCCAUGUACAUCAUCUAUGGCUUAAACCUGAUUGACCGAUUUCGCCUGCUGGAUCUUCCUCUU